RNAcentral lists this ribosomal RNA (1085 nucleotides) under Vibrio sp. CSMCRI-1031. RNAcentral's name for it is "bacterial SSU rRNA". The stretch from base 1 to 932 matches the Rfam family "Bacterial small subunit ribosomal RNA". The record is from RNAcentral. Lineage: Bacteria; Pseudomonadati; Pseudomonadota; Gammaproteobacteria; Vibrionales; Vibrionaceae.
AGCGUAUAGAGGAUCUCAGAUAACAGGGUCCGGAGGGGCGGGCUGACCCUUCGGGGGAGUUAAGGGCGUCUAGCGGCGGACGGGUGAGUAAUGCCUAGGAAGUUGCCCAGUAGAGGGGGAUAACCAUUGGAAACGAUGGCUAAUACCGCAUAACCUCUUCGGAGCAAAGCAGGGGACCUUCGGGCCUUGCGCUAUUGGAUACGCCUAGGUGGGAUUAGCUAGUUGGUGAGGUAAGGGCUCACCAAGGCGACGAUCCCUAGCUGGUCUGAGAGGAUGAUCAGCCACACUGGAACUGAGACACGGUCCAGACUCCUACGGGAGGCAGCAGUGGGGAAUAUUGCACAAUGGGCGAAAGCCUGAUGCAGCCAUGCCGCGUGUGUGAAGAAGGCCUUCGGGUUGUAAAGCACUUUCAGCAGUGAGGAAGAUGGUAAGAUUAAUACUCUUAUCAUUUGACGUUAGCUGCAGAAGAAGCACCGGCUAACUCCGUGCCAGCAGCCGCGGUAAUACGGAGGGUGCGAGCGUUAAUCGGAAUUACUGGGCGUAAAGCGCAUGCAGGUGGUGAGUUAAGUCAGAUGUGAAAGCCCGGGGCUCAACCUCGGAAUUGCAUUUGAAACUGGCUCACUAGAGUACUGUAGAGGGGGGUAGAAUUUCACGUGUAGCGGUGAAAUGCGUAGAGAUCUGAAGGAAUACCAGUGGCGAAAGGCGGCCCCCUGGACAGAUACUGACACUCAGAUGCGAAAGCGUGGGGAGCAAACAAGAUUAAAUACCCUGGUAGUCCACCCCCGUAAACGAUGUCUACUUGGAGGUUGUGGCCUUCACCCCUGGCUUUCGGAGCAAAACGUUACCUAACCGCCUGGGGGAGUGCGGUCCCCAGAAUAAAAACUCAAAUAAGUUGAGGCCGGCGGGCCACAAGCAGUGAAAUCAUAUCGUUUAAUGUGGUGGCGCUCUUCACCCACCAUAUCUACAUGUCGAGCGUCCACACCACCUUGUAAAACAGGGAGUGUGCGAUGAGGAAACUCCGGGGUCCUUUACCGGCCGGCAAUCGUCAGGAUGAGAGUAUGUGAUAGUUAUGCUACCGUCCCGGA